UAGACAGCGAUGAUAAAAACUACGAUUUAUAAAUUUCUUCAGAGAGCCGAUGGUUGGUGAGAAUCGGUGAAAGGUUAAGUCUUUCCACUUUUGGAGCUGUAUGUGAUAAAGCGCAAUUAAUACUUGUGCCUAAAUAUAAAGGGUAGUAACCUCUAUAUUACUAAUGAAGUGGCUGAUUUAUAUUUAUCAGCAAUUUGGGUGGCAACGCGGAUUAUUCCGUCCCAAGU
RNAcentral lists this non-coding RNA (227 nucleotides) under Clostridium sp. RNAcentral's name for it is "T-box sequence". It matches the Rfam family "T-box leader". From Rfam's summary of the family: Uncharged tRNA acts as the effector for transcription antitermination of genes in the T-box leader family. T-boxes are found upstream of many aminoacyl-tRNA synthetase genes and some amino acid biosynthetic genes usually in Gram-positive bacteria. The anticodon of a specific tRNA base pairs to a specifier sequence within the T-box motif, and the NCCA acceptor tail of the tRNA base pairs to a conserved bulge in the T-box antiterminator hairpin. The record is from RNAcentral. Lineage: Bacteria; Bacillati; Bacillota; Clostridia; Eubacteriales; Clostridiaceae.